This 246-nucleotide ribosomal RNA is filed under the name uncultured bacterium. RNAcentral describes it as "partial 16S ribosomal RNA". It matches the Rfam family "Bacterial small subunit ribosomal RNA", at positions 527 to 772 of the family's 1533-position model. The record is from RNAcentral.
GUAGGUGGCAAGCGUUGUCCGGAUUUACUGGGUGUAAAGGGCGUGCAGCCGGGAAGACAAGUCAGAUGUGAAAUCCCGCGGCUCAACCGCGGAACUGCAUUUGAAACUGUUUUUCUUGAGUACCGGAGAGGUCAUCGGAAUUCCUUGUGUAGCGGUGAAAUGCGUAGAUAUAAGGAAGAACACCAGUGGCGAAGGCGGAUGACUGGACGGCAACUGACGGUGAGGCGCGAGAGCGUGGGGAGCAAA